AAGAUUUAGUUAAUAGAUAACAGUAGUUUAUCAGACUAUAAUUAAUGGUAUACAUAAAUCUUA
This 63-nucleotide transfer RNA is filed under the name Placobdella lamothei. Its description in RNAcentral is "transfer RNA Aspartic Acid". The record is from RNAcentral. Lineage: Eukaryota; Metazoa; Annelida; Clitellata; Rhynchobdellida; Glossiphoniidae.